This 254-nucleotide ribosomal RNA is filed under the name uncultured bacterium. RNAcentral's name for it is "partial 16S ribosomal RNA". It matches the Rfam family "Bacterial small subunit ribosomal RNA", at positions 524 to 776 of the family's 1533-position model. The record is from RNAcentral.
UACGAAGGGGGCUAGCGUUGCUCGGAAUCACUGGGCGUAAAGCGCACGUAGGCGGACUCUUAAGUCGGUGGUGAAAUCCUGGAGCUCAACUCCAGAACUGCCUUCGAUACUGGGAGUCUCGAGUCCGGGAGAGGUGAGUGGAACUGCGAGUGUAGAGGUGAAAAUUCGUAGAUAUUCGGAAGAACACCAGUGGCGAAGGCGACACACUGGCUCACUACUGACGCUGAGGCGCGAAAGCGUGGGGAGCAAACAGG